RNAcentral lists this long non-coding RNA (442 nucleotides) under Homo sapiens (human). RNAcentral's name for it is "non-protein coding lnc-ANKRD20A8P-2:1". The record is from RNAcentral. Lineage: Eukaryota; Metazoa; Chordata; Mammalia; Primates; Hominidae.
AUGGACUCAGACUUCCCACAAGUCUUCUAGAAAGAACUCACCUGCCUCAUCUGCCUGAAUUACCUCAUAGACCCCAUCACUAUAGGCUGUGGGCACAGUUUCUGUAGGCCCUACCUCUGCCUUUGCUGGGAAGAAGCACACACUCCUGCCCUGCGUGCAGGGAACUGUCACAGCAGGAAGAUUUCAACCAAUAUUCUUCUGAAUAAUCUAGUGUCCAUUGCCAGAAAAGCCAGUCUCUGGCAAUUCCUAAGCUCUAAUUAACAAAUGUGCGGGAUCCACAGGGAGACAAAGAUGUUCUGUGAUGUGGGCAAGAGCCUGCUCUGUUUUCUGUGUUCUAACUCUCAGGAACACUGGGGCACAGAGACACUGGCCCACUGAAGGGGCAGCUAAGGAACACUGUGUAAGUGAUGACUCAAAGCACUUUGAAAGCUGGAGGGCAGCA